Molecule: small nuclear RNA, 23 nt
Filed under: Arabidopsis thaliana (thale cress)
Lineage: Eukaryota; Viridiplantae; Streptophyta; Magnoliopsida; Brassicales; Brassicaceae
Description: snRNA_14731
Source: RNAcentral
AUAUGCUCUAAGUAACCUUUCAU